CAAGGAAGGCAGCAGGCGCGCAAAUUACCCACUCCCGGCACGGGGAGGUAGUGACGAAAAAUAACGAUACGGGACUCAUCCGAGGCCCCGUAAUCGGAAUGAGUACACUUUAAAUCCUUUAACGAGGAUCAAUUGGAGGGCAAGUCUGGUGCCAGCAGCCGCGGUAAUUCCAGCUCCAAUAGCGUAUAUUAAAGUUGUUGCGGUUAAAAAGCUCGUAGUCGAAUUUGUGUCGUGCGCCGCCGGUUCAUCGCUCGCGGUGUCAACUGGCGUGUCGCAGGACGUCCUGCCGGUGGACUCAGUUGUCCUGCCGUCCUCCUUCGGGGGUCGGUUCGGGCGACGGUCCAACUUUAAAAAUCCCACCGCGGUGCUCUUCGCUGAGUGUCGAGGUGGGCCGGCACGUUUACUUUGAACAAAUUAGAGUGCUUAAAGCAGGCUAAAAUUUUGCCUGAAUACUGUGUGCAUGGAAUAAUGGAAUAGGACCUCGGUUCUAUUUUGUUAGUUUUCGGAACCCCGAGGUAAUGAUUAAUAGGAACGGAUGGGGGCAUUCGUAUUGCGACGUUAGAGGUGAAAUUCUUGGAUCGUCGCAAGACGGACUUAAGCGAAAGCAUUUGCCAAAAACGCUUUCAUUGAUCAAGAACGAAAGUUAGAGGUUCGAAGGCGAUCAGAUACCGCCCUAGUUCUAACCAUAAACGAUGCCAGCUAGCGAUCCGCCGAUGUUCCUCCGAUGACUCGACGGGCAGCUUCCGGGAAACCAAAGCUUUUGGGUUCCGGGGGAAGU
This 778-nucleotide ribosomal RNA is filed under the name Operclipygus impressifrons. Its description in RNAcentral is "SSU rRNA". It matches the Rfam family "Eukaryotic small subunit ribosomal RNA", at positions 417 to 1124 of the family's 1831-position model. The record is from RNAcentral. Lineage: Eukaryota; Metazoa; Arthropoda; Insecta; Coleoptera; Histeridae.